This 271-nucleotide ribosomal RNA is filed under the name uncultured Burkholderiales bacterium. RNAcentral's name for it is "partial 16S ribosomal RNA". It matches the Rfam family "Bacterial small subunit ribosomal RNA", at positions 505 to 775 of the family's 1533-position model. Lineage: Bacteria; Pseudomonadati; Pseudomonadota; Betaproteobacteria; Burkholderiales. The record is from RNAcentral.
GUGCCAGCCGCCGCGGUAAUACGUAGGGUGCAAGCGUUAAUCGGAAUUACUGGGCGUAAAGCGUGCGCAGGCGGUGAUGUAAGACAGAUGUGAAAUCCCCGGGCUCAACCUGGGAACUGCAUUUGUGACUGCAUCGCUGGAGUGCGGCAGAGGGGGAUGGAAUUCCGCGUGUAGCAGUGAAAUGCGUAGAUAUGCGGAGGAACACCGAUGGCGAAGGCAAUCCCCUGGGCCUGCACUGACGCUCAUGCACGAAAGCGUGGGGAGCAAACAG